GGUUGGGUGGCUCAGUGGUAGAGUUCUUGCCUUGCAUGCAUGAGGCCCUGGGUUCGAUUCCUCAGCACCA
RNAcentral lists this transfer RNA (70 nucleotides) under Dipodomys ordii (Ord's kangaroo rat). It matches the Rfam family "tRNA". Rfam says of the family: Transfer RNA (tRNA) molecules are approximately 80 nucleotides in length. Lineage: Eukaryota; Metazoa; Chordata; Mammalia; Rodentia; Heteromyidae. The record is from Rfam by way of RNAcentral.